RNAcentral lists this unclassified non-coding RNA (233 nucleotides) under plant metagenome. RNAcentral's name for it is "partial contains small subunit ribosomal RNA, internal transcribed spacer 1, and 5.8S ribosomal RNA". The stretch from base 1 to 54 matches the Rfam family "Eukaryotic small subunit ribosomal RNA", at positions 1778 to 1831 of the family's 1831-position model. The record is from RNAcentral.
GGAAGUAAAAGUCAUAACAAGGUUUCCGUAGGUGAACCUGCGGAAGGAUCAUUCAUAAUAAAGUGUUUUAUGGCACUUUUUAAAAAUCCAUAUCCACCUUGUGUGCAAUGUUAGAUCUCGUCAAUCUUGGCGAGAUUUUUAUACAUCAACUCAUUUUUUAACUAAUUUGUCUGAAAAAUAUUAUGAAUACUUAAUUCAAAAUACAACUUUCAACAACGGAUCUCUUGGCUCUC